GUCGAGCGAACAGACGAGGAGCUUGCUCCUCUGACGUUAGCGCGGACGGGUGAGUAACACGUGGAUAACCUACCUAUAAGACUGGGAUAACUUCGGGAAACCGGAGCUAAUACCGGAUAAUAUAUUGAACCGCAUGGUUCAAUAGUGAAAGACGGUUUUGCUGUCACUUAUAGAUGGAUCCGCGCCGCAUUAGCUAGUUGGUAAGGUAACGGCUUACCAAGGCAACGAUGCGUAGCCGACCUGAGAGGGUGAUCGGCCACACUGGAACUGAGACACGGUCCAGACUCCUACGGGAGGCAGCAGUAGGGAAUCUUCCGCAAUGGGCGAAAGCCUGACGGAGCAACGCCGCGUGAGUGAUGAAGGUCUUCGGAUCGUAAAACUCUGUUAUUAGGGAAGAACAAAUGUGUAAGUAACUAUGCACGUCUUGACGGUACCUAAUCAGAAAGCCACGGCUAACUACGUGCCAGCAGCCGCGGUAAUACGUAGGUGGCAAGCGUUAUCCGGAAUUAUUGGGCGUAAAGCGCGCGUAGGCGGUUUUUUAAGUCUGAUGUGAAAGCCCACGGCUCAACCGUGGAGGGUCAUUGGAAACUGGAAAACUUGAGUGCAGAAGAGGAAAGUGGAAUUCCAUGUGUAGCGGUGAAAUGCGCAGAGAUAUGGAGGAACACCAGUGGCGAAGGCGACUUUCUGGUCUGUAACUGACGCUGAUGUGCGAAAGCGUGGGGAUCAAACAGGAUUAGAUACCCUGGUAGUCCACGCCGUAAACGAUGAGUGCUAAGUGUUAGGGGGUUUCCGCCCCUUAGUGCUGCAGCUAACGCAUUAAGCACUCCGCCUGGGGGAGUACGA
This 843-nucleotide ribosomal RNA is filed under the name Staphylococcus epidermidis. Its description in RNAcentral is "bacterial SSU rRNA". It matches the Rfam family "Bacterial small subunit ribosomal RNA", at positions 61 to 885 of the family's 1533-position model. Lineage: Bacteria; Bacillati; Bacillota; Bacilli; Caryophanales; Staphylococcaceae. The record is from RNAcentral.